GGAAGUGAAGGUGGACAGACGAAACAAGUAUCAGAACUAAAGUUGAUCGCCAAGUGGACGUCGUAUAACAAACACUAACGUAGUGUUUAUUCCAUGCAAGCCCCGGUGCAUGCAACCCCUUCCUUGUGUUUUUAAAUAAUUUUUGCACACUUUAAGUCUAGCGAAAUGUGCAUUAGGUUUAUAGGAGUUGCAUGGAAACCCUUUAAUGCAUUGUCUACCUUGAUAUCCAUACCUUUAUAGAUACUUCUGAUGAAGUAUGAAAAUAUGAUUUACAAAAAUGCUUAUCCCUGCUUAGACAUUGUGGAUAGAGGUUGUCUUUUGCAUUAAGGCCUAGCUCAGGGGUUCUCCUGAGGAAGGAUGACUUCUACCUGCAAGAAUAUUUUCAUUGGGAGUGUGGUGGCAUCCUACUGCAGAGUUCCCUAUAAUGUUGUUUUCAUCAUAAGGAAUACAAAUAAUCCUAAGGAUGAAAGUACUUAAAUCGGGACUUGGGCUAGGAACAGGUGAUGUUCUACCAGGUUGAUUAAGGAUUAUACUGAAUGUAGGCUUGAUGAUCGAGGACCUUUUAACCGGUCAUAUGCCUCGUCAUGGGUAAGCUUUGCCUCGGGCAGAUUAAUACCAAAAUAAGAUAACACGCAAUGGGAGUGGAGAGAUGGCGAGAGUAGCGUGUACCCUUCGUGGCAAAAGGCUGGACGGUGGUGUAUCUGUGCUCUCAGUUGGCGUGAACCUGAUCUGGUCUUAAGAACCCCGGUGGCGAGUUGACAUAUGCAAGGGUUAAGUGCUACAUAUGUCGUGUGAUUGGAGAUCCCCAGCUGGGUAUUAAUCGAUUUGGAUCGCCGUUACUUCUCGGACAUGAAGACUUGGUCACUGCCCUGCAAUCUAAGUCAUGGAUGGAAUCAUAAUGAGCAAAAACCAUGAUGUAUUGAUUCUGUGAUGAUGAAAUUAGACUAGAUGCAAACAAGGUCUAUUAAUACUUAAUCUAGCAUUCAAAUGUUGAAAGUAAGGACUCAUUUUAGUAAGCUUUUCUGCAAACUAUUAAAGUUGAUUCUUGCUAAAAGCCUUUCCUUGACUCCCAAAUCCAGCAUAUCCUUGAGAGUCUUUUCUUUAGUCGGGUAAGUCUUGCUAAGUACUUGCGUACUUAGGGUUUUACCCAUUGUUGCUGCAGGUUACGAGUCAAUUGAUUGUGAUUGGUGUUAAGCGCCGGUGGGCACGGCCUUCUAUAAGUCUAAGUACUUCUUCUAUACUUCUUAUUGAGGAUGGUCUAAGUAUAUAUUUCAAACUUAUAAACAAUUUAUAACAUUUCAAAGUUUAUUCUUUGAACCACUUUUGUAACCACUUCGAUAAAUAUAAUGUAAAUUUGCUGUAACUUGUAAAAUUUGGUAAUAAGAUUUCCUUUGCAAAAUUGUUGGUGUGUGAUUUGUGUUUACUUAAUCCCGCAGUUCUUGUUGUAAGUGGUUUAUCCGAGGUCCUUGGGGCACUCGGACAGAUCCUGUUAAGUUAUCUGGUGCACAUGCAUAGCCGUCUGAUGUAUUUGAGACAAGGGCAGGUGCAUGUGGGCCCAAUAACUUGGGAGGUUCUGCCACAGCUGGUAUCGGAGCAAGAUUAAGUAUAUACGGUCACAUACGUAUUUUCAAAACAAAAGUUUUGGUUUUAGAAAACCUAUUUUCAACUAAACAUAUUGUUUGGUUUUGAAAAAUAGCUUUGAAAAUCUAUAAUGCUAGUGACAUCCUCUGUUAAGCCCUAAAUUAAGGAUUAUCAGGUGGCUUAGUUCAAAACAGCAACCCACAACCGGGUGGAUAUUGCAUACAUGUGUAAUGUUAUUUUUGAGGCCAUUCAGUUUUGAAUGGAUCGACGCUCAGGUAAGGUGAGAUGUGAGAGCAUGACCGAACAACCGUCGGUCUAGGGAAGAGUGUAAAAAGCGCUUGAUUAUAUACUUCUUCCACAUAUGUAUAUAUGAAGGCUGCGAUGUGGAGUAAUUACUUUUCUAGGAAUUCAGUACCCCAUGGAUGUGUAUGGGUAUACAGACAUGGGAAUACUGAGAAGUGUAAUGUACUUGUAACGAUGCACCUACGCUCGGGUAAGAAGGCGAGUUACCAUAAUAAGUUGCCCUAUGGUUAAAGUGUGGCAACGGCGCCUAUGCGUGGCUCGGCGCUUAAUGAUGAGCUGGCCUCCAUAUAGAGAUAUAUGGAGUAUAAAAUGUGAUAACUGUCAUGUGUGGAUCUUGCAUCAUGGGCAAAUUGGGCUGUGAUGGAUUUUUCUGCAGGUACACUAACCUCAAAAACGUAUGUGUAGCAAAAUACCAAGAGAGAACGUAUGCCACCGAUAAAGAACGUUAUUGCCACGUUAGAUUGGCAAAAAUCAGUGAGGACGAAUAAGACGAGCAUGCAUCCUGAUUGUUGCAUCAUGUUUGUCACCUAUACACCCAAAAUGCUUCUCUCAUCCUGAUUCCAAUAACCAGUGAUUGUAGAUAAUGUGGUGUAAUGAACUUCGAUGAAAUAGUUGUCCUCCAUUCUUUAGGUAAUCUAUAUAGGUGUUAUAUGUGUUUGCUCUUGUACUUGAAGUGCCGAUAGAAGGUUGGUGAUUUAUUUGCCUAAACCAUAAACUAGGCCAUGUUCUUAUUUAGUGAACCAAGACCCAAAUUUGAAUUUUCCGUUAUCCCUCCAUGACUAAACUCAUGGAAAUGGAUGUGUUGGGGACUUGUUCUCAAAUACUAUGAAUUAAGAACAAGGCAACACAAAAGAAGGUUAAAUGGUUAAUGCCCUUCGUCCUUCGAAACAUUAUUUCCCUUGGGAUAUAACGAUCUUCGGACGAAGGCCAUGAAGGAUACACCUUCAUCAUUAUGAUAUAUGAUAGUGAUAAUAAAAAACAUAUAAAAUACAAAAGAUAGCAUAGACAUUUAUAUAUCAUUAUUAAAUCAUUUCUAUUUUAUUAACACGGAAAAAUAGAAAUGACAUUAAACUACAAGUGUACCUUCGGCUUGAAUGAAAGCAAAAGUACAAGUGUGACGUAUCCGUGAUUACAGGAUCGCGUGAACAGUGCCGGGAUACUGUUCACCUAUUUAUAGGCACAGGAUGCAACCUGCGCAAAAUUACAUUUAUGUCCUUUACAAUCAACUAUAAUUUAUGACACAAAACAUCAUGGGUCUUUAAGUCAAUUCAUCUUUAAGUCGGUUCGACCCUUCAUCUUGAGAUUUGUCUCUGUACCGAAGCUUUAGAGAUGAUAGCUUCGGCGCUUGCUUCUGAGAAGACCUUUCGAAGGUGUUCUUUUUAGGAUCUUCGGCUACGAAGCAUACCCCCAACAGUAGCCCCUUCGCGGUGCUAGAUCGUUUUUCGUAACGAGCUUGAUCCGUGAAAAAGUCUUUUAAGCUUCGGGACGCCGAAGAUCCAAAAAACACCUUCCCUGAGCUCGUUGGCGAGAAACGAUUAAAAUAAUCGUCGCGCGCGCGCCCCAUCCUGUACCAAUUACGCGCGCGCUAGCGAUUCACCUUCUCGGACUCUGUGGCCCACCGUUCAGUGAGUGCGGGUGACUGCUUGUUCGGUGCUGGGGACCUUGCCGAUUCACCUUCCCACCUGCAGCACUAUAUAAACAGACGGGUAGGUGUGAAGUUACCACGACAUUCAUUGCUAGCGCACUGUUUUGCUACCAAAUUUUUAGUCAUAGCCGAAGCUUAAUCAUCGUGCUCAGACGAAACUUCGCUUGUGUUUCCUCUUCGGAACAAGAGUAAGAGCUUCGGAGAAAACAAAAAAGUCAACACCAAAAACUUCAAGUAAGUCAUAAUCAAAUGGCCAGAGUUCGCUCUACUGCUAGGGUCGAUCGUGAGGGAGACGAGAUCGAAGCUACUGACAUUGUUCCUAUUUCGGAAGCAAUGAAGCGUUCUGGGUUGGUAACACCGGAGGACAUGCCUGCUGCCGAAGACAUCCCUGCUGCCGAAAACAUUCCUGCUGCCGAAGCAGAACGGACUGCUGUUGAAGAAACUGAUUCCGAAGAUGAUUACAGUAGCGCAGUGCCGAGCAAGCCUAGCCACAUGGACUUCGGAAAGUCCACCAUCUCCGAAGCUGAUUUUCCUAAGAUGGUGAAGUUAGACUAUCUUAGUGAAGAAAAGAAGGAAUUGAUUCGUUUCAGUGGAGAGGAAACUAUCCCGAAACUGGGAAAAAAUGAAGUGGUGGUUUUCAAAAGUCUUUUUAAAGCUGGUUUAAGAUUUCCUCUGAACAAGAUGAUUGCUGGUGUAUUGAAGAAACAUGGGAUCUACCUUCAUCAGCUGACGCCUAACGCUAUCGUUAGGCUGAGUGUUUAUAUAUGGGCCCUCCGAAGCCAGGGGGUGGAACCAUUCUCCGAAGGUUUCUGCCGAGUACACGAACUGCAUGUUGGGCCCAUGCUUCGUUGCGCCGAAGGUCUUGCGUGAAGAAGCAGCUUCGGCUGAAAUCGUCCCCAGGAAAUGGCCGAAGGUUCCUUUUUAUAGAGCUUCGGCGUUGCAAACCGACAUAAAGAUAGAAUGACCUUUUUAUCCAUAGAGGUCUAACAUAAUGUUGUAAACUUUUGUAAAGGGCAUAAUUGUAAUUCGUCACAGGCUGCGUCCUGUGUCUAUAAAUAGAUGAACAGUACCCCCGUACUGUUCACGCUGACUUGGCAUUUGCUUUUGCGUCACGCUUGUACUUUCUACCCUCUCUCAGGACCGAAGGUACAUUUGUAAUUUGAAAUCAUUUCUAUUUUUCCAUGUUAAUAAAAUAGAAAUGAUUCUACGAUGAUGCUUAUGUUAUAUUUCAUGCUUUAUAUAAGUCCCUCGUCAUUAUUUGUUAUGUUUACGAAGGUAUUUCUCUUAUGACCUUCGUCCCAGACUCAUUAUUUCCCGAAGGGGACAUAAUGCUUCGAAGGACGAAGGACUUUAACACUUAACAUUUUUUAUGUUGCCUUGUUCUUAACUCUUAGCAUUUGAGAACAAGUCCCCAACAUUGGCGCCCACCUCCGGUGAACUCACUUCCACUUUUCUGAGCUGAUGGCUUCGUUCAACAAUCAAGCUGGAGUUGCUUCGGACCCGAAGCUGGUGCUCCCGAUCACAGGUGGCUCGUCCUCAGAGCCAGCUAACAAGAAGCAGAAGAAGGAAGCGCAGAGAAGAGUACAGCAUGUUGGGGUGCAAGGACCCUUCAUCAAAUCAAGAUGGUCUCACAUUCCUAUUACCUUCUCUCAAGAGGACCUUCAGCUCAAAGAUUACCCACACAACGAUGCCAUGGUUAUCUCUUGUGUUAUCAAAGGAUUUCUGGUUCACAAUGUCUUGGUCGAUACAGGUAGUGCAGCUGACAUCAUAUUUGCUAAAGCCUUCAGACAGAUGCAAGAGCCAGAAGAUAAGAUUCAUGAUGCUACACAUCCUCUUUGUGGCUUCGGAGGAAGACAGAUUGUAGCACUGGGCAAGAUCACCAUGUCAGUAACCUUCGGAUUCAUCAACAACACUAGAACUGAGCAAGUUGUGUUUGACAUUGUUGACAUGGAAUAUCCUUACAAUGCAAUUAUUGGUCGUGGUACUCUUAAUGCCUUCGAAGCAAUCCUUCAUCCUGCCUAUCUUUGCAUGAAGAUACCUUCGGACCAAGGGCCUAUUGCUAUCCAUGGAAGCCAGGAAGCUGCUAGAAGGGCCGAAGGAAGCUGGACCGACUCCAAGGCAAUCCAUAACAUAGAUGGAACUGAAGCUUGUGAACAGUACAAAUUCAGAAGGGAGAAGGCAGCUUCAGCAGAUCAGCCGAAGCCCAUGCUAUUGUGUGAAGACAUAGCAGAGCAGAAGGUGCUGUUGGGCUCGCAAUUAUCUGAAGACCAGGAGAAAACCUUGAUAAGGUUUUUAUUCAACAACAAAGAUGUUUUUGCAUGGUCGGCUAAUGAUCUCUGUGGAGUAAACCGGGAUGUUAUUGAACAUUCGCUCAAUGUUGACCCAUCCUUUAGACCCCGAAAGCAGAGGCUUCGGAAAAUGUCUGAUGACAAGGCCGAAGGGGCUCGCAACGAAGUAAAAAGACUCCUCAGUGCAGGAGUUAUCAGAGAAGUGAAGUAUCCAGAGUGGCUAGCUAACACUGUUAUGGUGAAGAAGGCCAAUGGCAAGUGGAGAAUGUGUAUCGAUUUCACAGAUCUCAACAAGGCUUGUCCGAAGGACGAAUUCCCGUUGCCAAGGAUAGACUCUCUAGUCGAUGCAGCAGCUUCUUCAGAGCUCAUGAGUCUCUUGGACUGUUACUCAGGAUAUCAUCAAAUCUGGAUGAAAAAGGAAGAUGAGCCGAAAACUAGCUUCAUAACUCCAAGUGGCACGUAUUGCUAUCUUCGGAUGCCUGAGGGGCUCAAAAACGCUGGAGGAAGUUUCAGCAGAAUGACUGCGAAGGUUCUUCAGUCUCAAAUAGGCAGAAAUGUGUUGACCUAUGUUGAUGACAUUAUCGUCAAAAGCACGAAGCAGGAAAAUCAUAUUGUUGAUCUGCAGGAGACCUUCGCCAGCUUCAGACAAGCUGGUUUGAAGCUGAAUCCAGAGAAAUGUGUCUUCGGGGUAAAGAAGGGUAAAUUUCUUGGAUGCUUGGUUUCAACAAAGGGAAUCGAAGCUAAUCCAAAUAAAAUCGAAGCUAUACUUCGAAUGGAGCCACCAACUACAAGAAAAGGGGCCCAAAGAUUGACAGGAAGGCUGGCAUCUCUCAACAGAUUUAUAUCCAGAUCAGCAGAAAGAAACUUACCAUUUUUCGAGGUGCUGAAGUCAGCCGAAGUCUUUCAAUGGGGCCCAAGUCAACAAAAAGCCUUCGAAGAGUUGAAGCAAUACUUGAUAGAUCUCACAACAUUAACUCCGCCAACGCCAGGGGCUCCUCUGUUGUUAUAUGUGGCAGCUUCGCACUCAGCAGUAAGUGCGGCGCUUGUCCAGGAGAAGCUUUAUGGCCAGCUUAAGAAGCAAGUUCCAGUGUAUUUUGUAUCUGAGGUCCUUAGUGUCUCAAAGAAAAAUUAUACAGAGCUGGAGAAGGUAUUAUAUGCCGUUUUAAUGGCAUCCAGGAAACUUCGGCAUUAUUUUCAGGCAUACAAUAUCAUUGUUCCUUCUUCGCAGCCGUUGAAGGAUAUAAUGAGAAAUAGAGAAGCUACUGGACGGAUUGGGAGAUGGGCUGCAGAGCUCAACAAAUUUUACAUUGAUUAUGUGCAUAGAUCUUCGAUCCAGUCUCAAGCAUUGGCAGAUUUCAUUGCCGACUGGACGCCAGGGGCUCAGGAUGAAGAAGCAAAUAAAGAUGCCGAAGUGUGGACAGUGUUUUGUGAUGGCUCUUGGGGAAUCUUCGGAGCAGGUGCAGCUGCUGUGUUGGUUUCACCAUCCAAUGUCAAAACUUGUUAUGCAGCAAGACUUGAUUUCAGCUGCACGAACAAUAUUGCUGAGUACGAAGCCCUGCUUUUGGGCCUUCGGAAAUUAAAGGCAAUGGGAAUCAGAAGGGCAAUUCUUAAAACUGAUUCCCAGGUGGUUUCGGGUCAUGUUGACAAAAGUUGCAAGGCUAAAGAUCCGAAGCUUGAAAAAUAUCUAGAUACGGUCCGAAGGAUCGAGGCAUCCUUCGAAGGAUUCUCUGUCAAGAAUAUUCCUCGAGGACAAAAUGAGCAUGCUGAUUUGCUAGCUAAGUCUGCGGCACAGGGGCUGCCGUUACCUUCGGAUGUGUUCUUCGAAACAAUAAAGGCACCUUCAGUGGAGCUCCUUGAAAGAGCACUCCUCAACAUAUCUCCUGUUUACAGCGAAGAUUGGAGAACUGAAAUAAUCUCUUACCUUCAGGGUAAGUCCCUUUCAGAUGACGAAGCUUACAAUAAAAGAAUAGAGGCAAGAGCUCGUCCGUAUGUCAUGAUAGAAGGGGAAUUAUACAAACAUGGAGUUUGUGCUCCGCUGCUCAAGUGCUUAUCUAGAGCCGAAGGUAUAGAGUUGAUGAAAGAGAUACAUGCAGGCCUGUGUGGAUCCCACAUUGGAUCCAGGCCAUUACUUGGGAAAGUCUUCCGCCAAGGGUUUUAUUGGCCGAAGGCAGCUUCGGAUGCGGCGGAGUUAGUGCAAAAGUGCGAAGGUUGUCAGAAAUGUGCAAGAGAUCAAAAACAACCUUCGUCUUUGACACAGCUGAUACAACCCAUCUGGCCAUUGCAAAGGUGGGGCCUUGACUUGUUGGGCCCAUUACCACCGGCUCAAGGGAAUCUAAAAUAUGUUAUAGUGGCUGUGGAGUAUUUUUCCAAGUGGAUUGAGGCGAAGCCAUUGGCCACAAUAACUUCGGCCACUGUCCAAAAGUUUUUCUGGCAGAAUAUUGUCUGUCGCUUCGGGGUACCGAAGGCAAUUACUGUAGAUAAUGGAACGCAGUUUGACUCCGAAGCUUUCAGAAAUUUCUGUGAUCAAAUUGGAACGAAGAUCCAUUUUGCGUCAGUCAGGCAUCCGGAGUCAAAUGGGCUCGUUGAAAGGGCCAACGGCAUUAUAAUGACAGGAAUAAUGAAGUUAAUCUUCAAUCAACCCAGGGGAAAGUGGCCAGAUCAGUUAAUCAAAGUGGUGUGGAGCCACAAUACAACAACAUCAAGGUCUACAGGCUUUACCCCAUUCAAAUUAUUAUUCGGUGACGAAGCAAUAACUCCGGAGGAAGCAAAAGCUGGAUCAGUAAGAGUAGUAGCUUCGGCAGAAUCAGGUCCCGAAGAUGCUUGCCUUGUGGAAAAGGAUGCUUUAGAAGGGAUCAGGCUUCAGGCCGUGGAGAAUAUCAAUAAAUAUCAGGCUGAAACAGUUAAAUGGCGAGAUAGAAAAGUCCGGCUAAAAAAUAUUGAGCCGGGACACUUGGUGCUUCGGAGAGUGGCUAACCCAGAUACAGUGGGUAAGCUACAGUUGAAAUGGGAAGGACCAUUCUUAGUAGUAUCUUCGUCAAGGCCUGGAUCAUACAGAUUGAAGGACAUGGAUGGCAACGAAAUUCCAAGGUCUUGGAAUGCGGAUGAGCUUCGGCGAUACUAUGUAUAACAUGAUGUAAUUUUUAAUGUUUUUUCUUUUCUUUUUCAUGGCACCCUUUUCCUUUCCGAAGGGGAGAAAGGUUUUUAAUGGGGCCAUCAUGUGUAAUUUCCUUUUUUUAGUCUUAUAAGAGCAAAAUCCCCCAAAAAAUGUAAAUGUAACAGCUGAGAACGCACCAUCGAGUGCAGAAACUGAAAAAGAAAAAAGAGAAGAAGCUCCAAAGACGUUCCUAAGGGAAUGCAGAGCUUAUACCGCCUAAGUAAAAGGCGAAGAAACUCCAAAGACGUUCCCAAGGGAAUGCAGAGUUUAUACCGUCUAAGUAAAAGACGAAGAAGCUCCAAAGACGUUCCUAAGGGAAUGCAGAGCUUAUACCGCCUAAGUAAAAGGCGAAGAAACUCCAAAGACGUUCCUAAGGGAAUGCAGAGUUUAUACCGUCUAAGUAAAAGACGAGGAAGCUCCAAAGUCGUUCCUAAGGGAAUGCAGAGCUGAUGUGUGGUUAAUUACAAGGAAAUAAUGGUUGAGUGUGGCUUUGGUUAUACGCUUUGGACAUUCAUUCGCACAUUACAUCAUAGCAUUUGCAUUCAUAAGCAUUCAUUCAUAGCAUUUGUGCUUCUAAGUGGUUGCUUCGGCAAAAGGAAGAAGUGGCCUUUUAUGUUUCGUCAUGUACAAAAAAGAAAAAAAGCUUCGGCAAGAAGAAGAAGCGGCCUUUUAUGUUUCGUCAUGUACAAAAAAGAAAAAGCUUCGGCAAGAAGAAGAAGCGGCCUUUUAUGUUUCGUCAUGUACAAAAAAGAAAAGCUUUGGCAAAAAGAAGAAAUGGUCUUUUAUGCUUCGUUGUGUCCGAAAAGAAGGGAAGGUGUUUUUUCGCCUUCGGCUCAAAAUACUGAUUUCGUCCACAUCAAAGCGUCUCAAUAAAAGGGUAAGAAUAUAUUACAAGGUAUGAACAAAGUUCCUUGAGAAUAGAUUAAUUAUAUUUACAAAAAGUUGUUACAAAUUCUUCUGAGUUUUUUCUAGUUUACUCCUAAUAACCUUCGUCAGGUUUCUGCUUCGGCGGCAUUUCCUUUAAGCAUCACCUUCAGCUUCGUCAUCCUACAUGAAUCAAGGUAUCCCGAGUAAAAAUCAAGUGUGAAGGAGGAGGUAAGUACAAAGUAUGAUUUCUUACUGGUUCAAGAUGACUUCGAGCUUCGUCCCCAGCCUUCUCUCGCCCGCCUUUUGUCCAUAUCAUUUUUAUGAAUCUAUUUGAGAUGCUCCGGGCGAGGUCAGGAAUGUCGUCGAGAAUUGAUGGAGACAGGGCGAAGUUGGGCCUGUUGACAAUCUUUCCAUGCUCGCAGCCAGCCUUCAGGAAUGCUGCAGCAGUACCCCGAGAAGCUACCCAGGCACAGAAGUCACCGUGCCCAGCUAUAACUUCGUCAAGUUCUUCAAUUUCAGCUUCGAUAUGAUCGAAGGCUUUUGGUAAAUCUUCAUCCGAAGGGGUAAAUUUCCCGCUGCUGGCCCCAACUGAGUAAAAGAUCUUCUUUAGUUGUUGGAUACAAUUGUUGCUAAAAUUCAAACAUUUGUCUUGAAGGCUUGUUAAUGACUUCUUCAAAUUUGAGUUGGCUUGGACUUCGGCUUCAAGUUUCGAAUCAAGUUCUAGCUUCUCUUGUUCAAAUUGUUUUGAUUGGCAGAGAAGCUUCGAAUUCAAUUCUGCUACUUUGGCUUCAGUCUCUGCCAGCAAGCCUUCGGUUGAUUGAAGUUCGAAGUCUUUCUUUUCAAUAAUAGCUGAUUGUUCUUUUAUCUUGCUCUCUAAAUUUUCAAUUAUAGCUUCGUGCUUCUUAUCUUCUAGAUCUUGCUGCAUCCUCAAAGCUUUGCUUAGAAGCAUGCUCUGCAAAUAAACAACCUUCGUUAAAGAAUAUUGCCAUUAUUAAAAAAACAAUAGAAGUUAGAGAGGAGGAUGUUUACCUUGAAAUUUGAAUAAAAUAAGCUGCCGACGAUAUGUUGUCGUCGGUAGCGGCUGAUGUCUGUCUCUAGUUUCGGGAAACCGAUACUCUUUGAUAGAGUACCGAUGACCUUAGCCCCAGCUGAGUCCCGGAUGCAGCCCAGUUUUUCAUCAUCAAUGCCUCCAAAUAGAAGAGCUCCUGGCUUGUAUCCGCAAGAUUUGGCGUAUUCCUUAAGCUCUUCUUUUUCGGCCUUCGACAGUUUUUGCCCGACUAAAUUUUGAAAUGAAUAGGCUUCGUCGUCCGAAGUGUCUUCGGCUAUUUCUUUCCCUUUCCCAGGCACUGUGGCCAUGGUUUCUUCAGCAGUGGUGGCAGCUUCUUCUGCAGCCAUGUCUGUUAAAAUUUUGUUGAUGUCUUCAUUAGUAGAUUCCAAGUUUACAUCUUCGGCUGUAACGGCUUCGGUAGCCGCGACCUCCGAAGGUGCGACUUCGACAUUUUCUGUGCCCACAACAGCUGGUGUUUUCUGGAUUGACGCCCUCGGUGGCGUCUUGUCAAUAACUUCUGUUACGGCAAUAAUUCUUUGCCUUUUCGCUUUGGCUAUCUUCGUUUUUUCCGGCUCCGCCACCUUUUGAAAAAGCUUCGUCAGUCGAGGCCCUAAUGGACUUAGCUUCGUGGGCAUGGGUUCAGUCAUUACCUUUAGAAUUUCCUCCACGUCGCUAGUAGAAGGUGGUGUGGGGGUCCCCUCUUCUUCGGAUAGUUUUCGCUUUGGAGUUGAUAUUUUUCUCUUGACAAUUUUCUUCUUUUUUGGUGGUUGUUCUUCAUCCUUGUUUAAAGCUUCGGUCGCUCUUUUUCUUCUCUCGCCCUCAGCACCCUUGUUCAGCUGCGCAUAAUCAGGAUAUUCGAAACCCAGAGCAUCAAGCACUCGGUUCAGCCUUCGCUUCGGACGGGUGCCGAAGGCUGCUGUCAUCAGUUGAUCUUCCUUUUUCGAGUAAUUCCCAAGAAUUUCAUUACACAUCACCUCAACUGUAUCCAGCCACUCUUGGCAGGGCUUCUUAAAAUAUUUCUUGAAUUUGAAGUGGUAAGGAAGCCGGACAAGAUCCCCUUCCUUCUUCUCCCCCUUUAACUUCGGCAUUUCCCAUUUUUUCAGAGUAGGGAAGACUCUGAAUGCUAAGAAUUCUUGAACCAGAUCCCUGGUACCAAUAUGCUCUGCAAUGAUUCUGAAUUCAUCCAUUGCCCGUUGAGUUUGACCCUCUGGUGUCAUGUUGCAGUGGGGUCGGGUUUCUCCGAAAGUUAGCUCGAGUGGACUUUGCACAAGCUUCUCCUUGUCCUCAUCAACCUUGACAUAGAACCAUUCUGAUUUCCAGCCUGCCGGCCAUUUGCUUCGGUAGCUGAUUACAGGAAACUUUGCGGUUUUCCGGUAGGCAAAAUUGUAGCAACCGAAGUUUUCAUGAAGCCCAUCUUUUCUGGCCUUUGUUUGAUAAUGCAAUUCAUGAACUCGACAGAAACUGUCAGCAAAAGGCUCCACUGCUUGGCUUCGGAGGGCCCAAAUAUAAACGCUAAGCCUAACGAUGGCGUUAGGAGUUAACUGAUGAAGGUAGAUGCCAAACCUCUUCAGUAUCUCUGCAACAAUCUCGUGAACAGGGAAUCUUAGCCCAGCCUUUAAAAAGCUUUUGAAGAUGACAACCUCGUCCUUCUCUGGCUUCGGGGUGGUCUCUUCUCCCCCGAAGCGAAGUAGCUUCUUCUGAUCUUCACUGAAAAAACCUGCUUUCACCAUCUUGGCGAGAUCAACCUUUGAAACAGUCGAUUUUCCGAAGUCUAGGUGGCUGGGUUUGCUGGGCAUGGCAAUACGGUAGUCAUCUUCGGAGUCGGUUUCUUCAAUGUUCCCUUCUCCUUCGGCAGCUGUCGGGUUUGCUUCGGCAGCAGGCAUUUCUUCCGCAGUCACCAGUCCGGAGCGCUGCAUCGCUUCGGAGAUGGGCACAGUCUCCGAAGCUUCAGUCUCGUCCCCCUCACGCUCAACCCUAGCUGUAGAGCGAACUCUGGCCAUUUAAUUAUGAACUUGUGAAACUUGGGUACUUUUUUCUCCGAAGCAGGCUUCAAGAUGGAGCUUCGUUCAAAUCUGACAAACUAGCUUCGGUGGUGGUUAAAAAUUUUGGCAGCAAAACAGUGCAAAUAGCAGUAAAUGCUGUGGUAACUUCACACCUACUCGUCUGUUUAUAUAGUGCUGCAGGUAAGAAGGCAAAGCGGCAGGGUUUUUACACCAGGCGGGCAGCAACUUGUACUCGCUGCGCAGUGGACCGCAAGGACCAAACAGUGACUCUGCAAGGUGGGACCGACACGAUCUCGGGAAAUGAAUCGUUUCUCGGCAACGAGCUCAGGGAAGGUGUUUUUUGGACCUUCGGCUUCCCGAAGCUUGAGAGGAUUUUUUCACGGUUCAAGCUCGUUACGAAAAACGAUCUAGCGCCGCGAAAGGGGCUACUGUUGGGCCCAUGCUUCGUUGCGCCGAAGGUCUUGCGUGAAGAAGCAGCUUCGGCUGAAAUCGUCCCCAGGAAAUGGCCGAAGGUUCCUUUUUAUAGAGCUUCGGCGUUGCAAACCGACAUAAAGAUAGAAUGACCUUUUUAUCCAUAGAGGUCUAACAUAAUGUUGUAAACUUUUGUAAAGGGCAUAAUUGUAAUUCGUCACAGGCUGCGUCCUGUGUCUAUAAAUAGAUGAACAGUACCCCCGUACUGUUCACGCUGACUUGGCAUUUGCUUUUGCGUCACGCUUGUACUUUCUACCCUCUCUCAGGACCGAAGGUACAUUUGUAAUUUGAAAUCAUUUCUAUUUUUCCAUGUUAAUAAAAUAGAAAUGAUUCUACGAUGAUGCUUAUGUUAUAUUUCAUGCUUUAUAUAAGUCCCUCGUCAUUAUUUGUUAUGUUUACGAAGGUAUUUCUCUUAUGACCUUCGUCCCAGACUCAUUAUUUCCCGAAGGGGACAUAAUGCUUCGAAGGACGAAGGACUUUAACACUUAACAUUUUUUAUGUUGCCUUGUUCUUAACUCUUAGCAUUUGAGAACAAGUCCCCAACACUGCACUACCAAACCAAGGCUAGGGCGGAUGGUUUGCAUGAAAAUUUUGGCUGGUACAACUUUGCUUACCGCAAAACUACAAAGUUCCCAAUGAUUAGCUACCGAAGCAAAUGGCCAGCAGGGUGGAAAUCUAAAUGGUUUUAUGUCAGAGUUGACGAAGAUGAAGAUAAAUUGGUCCAGAGUCCAUUAGAACUGACCUUCGGAGAAACAAGACCCCCGUGCAACAUGAUAUGGGGGAGCCCGAACCAGAUUGCUUUGGCUGAAUUUCGAAUAAUUGCAAAUCAUAUUGGUACUAGAGACUUGGUGCAGGAAUUUUUGGCCUUCAGAGUAUUUCCUACUUUGAAGGAAUGGGAAAUGCCGAAACUGGAGGGGGAGAAGAAGAAAGGGGAGCUUAUUCGGUUGCCUUACCACUACAAGUUCAAAAAACAUUUCAAAGUACCCUGCCAAGAAUUGCUGGAUACAAUUGAAGUAAUGUGCAACGAGAUUCUUGGAAAUUACUCUAAAAAAGAAGAUCAAUUGAUGACAGCGGCCUUCGGCACCCGUCCGAGACGAAGGCUAAACAGGGUGAUGGAUGCUAUUGGAUUUGAAUAUCCUGAUUAUGAGCGACUGGACAAAGGUGCCGAAGGGCAAAAAAGAAAAAGAGUGGCCAGUGCUUUGAAUAAAGACGACGAAGAUCAAUCAAAGAAGAAGAAACAAAAAUCUGAGGCAAAAUCAUUUGCUUCUGAGAAAAGAAAGGACUCGUCCCCAAAGCAAAAAUCAAUUGAUAAAGAAGAAAAGACUUCUGCGACAUCUUCUGAUGCCGAAAUAGAGGAAAUCCUAAAGGUAAUGACUGAAACUUUGCCUGUCAAACUAAGUCCAUUGGGGCUUCAUCUGCCGAAGAUUUUUCAUAAGGAAAAGGAGCCCACAAAAACAAAGACACCUAGGCCAAAGAGGCAAAGGAUUGUUACUGUGACAAAAGUGAUUGAAGCAACACCGCCAAAGGCUUCAGCUCCGAAGGUGCCUGUUAUUGAAAGCGUAACAGCCACCGAAGCUGCACCUUCGGAGGCCGCAGAAGAAGCUGCUGGAGCCACCGAAGAUAUCAAUUUGGAAAGUGUGGCUCUUAAUAUAGAUAAAAUUCUGCUAGACAUGGCCGCAGAAGAAGCUGCUAGAGCCACGGAAGAGGCUUCGGCCCCAGAGGCCGAGAAAAAGAAAGAAAUUGCCGAAGAAACACUAGAAGAUGAAAUUUUCAAUUUUCAAAACUUGGUUGGUCAAGAAUUAACAAGAGCCGAAAAAGAAGAAUUGAAAGAAUAUGCCUUUUCCUGCGGCUACCGACCAGGGGCACUUCUUUUCGGAGGUGUUGAUGAUGAGAAGCUAGGCUGCAUCCGAGAUCAGACCGGAGCAAAGGUUAUCGGUACUCUAUCAAAGAGUAUCGGCUUCCCGAAGCUCGAAGCCGAUAUUAGCCGCUACCGGCGACAACACAUCGUCGGUAGUUUGUUUUAUUCCAAUUUCAAGGUAAACAAUCUCCCUCUAACUUUUUAUUUUUAUAAAAAAUGUUUUCUAACGAAGGAUAUUCGUGUACAGAGUAUGCUAUUGAGCAAAGCUUUGAGGAUGCAACAGGAUUUAGAAGACAAAAAGCACGAGGUUAUAAUUGAAAACUUGGAAAAUAAAAUAAAAGAUCAAACAACUGCCUUUGAGAAGAAAGAAUUCAAACUCCAGACAACUGAAGGUUUACUGUCGGAGGCCGAAGCUAAAAUAACAGAACUGAAUACGAAGCUUCUCGGUUCCGAACAAGAAAAGCUGAAGCUUAAUGGAAAACUUGAGGCUGAAAUCCAGAAUGGUUUAGCUUUGAAAAAAUCAUUGAUGGACCUUCAAAACAAAUGCUUGAAUUUCAGCAAUCAAUGUGUUGAACGAUUGAAGAAGGUGUUUUAUUCAGUCGGGGCCAGUAGUGAAGAAUUUAUUCCUUCGGUUGAAGAUCUACCAGGAGCCUUCGAACACAUCGAAGGUGAGAUUGAUGACCUCGAUGAUGUUAUUGCUGGAUACGGCGACUUUUGUGCCCUGGUAGCUUCUUGGGGCACCGCUGCUGCGUUCCUGAAAUCUGGCUGUGAGCAUGGAAAAUUUAUCAACAGACCCAAUUUCAGCCUAUCACCAGCAAUUUUAGAUGAUAUUCCUAACCUCGCCCGAAGCAUUGCAAAUAAAUUUAUAAAGGUGAUAUGGACGAAGGGUGGGCGAGAGAAAGCUAGUGACGAAGCCAGAGAUCACCUUAAGCUGGUAAUAAUAUUAUGCCUUAUGAUUACCUUUUCCUUUGAAUGUUGAAUUCAGCUAAUAAUUCUUACAUACAGGUUGACCAAGCUGAAGCUGAAGCUACAAAAUAGAAGGAAGAAGCUCCAGAGAUGCUGUUGAAGCUCGAAUAGUCUGUAAAAAUAGCUCAAAAACUCAUGUGACAACUUGUAUAAAGUAUGAUGUAAUUGAAUUUCACUUUGUAAUAUAAUCUUCAUUUUCUGUCCAUGUAUGAAAUGCUUUGGUGUGGACGAAAUUAAUACUUUUGAGCCAUAGGCGAAAAACACCUUCCCUUCUUUACGUACACAGCGAAGUAUAAAAUUGCCUUUUUCCCGAAGCCUCCCUUUCGAAGCCGAAGCAAAUUUGUAUGUUAUGCUGAUGAUGAUCCUAUGUAUGUCUAAGUGAAUGUUUAUGAAUGCAAAUGUAUGAUGUAAUGUAUCGUGCAAAUGAAUGUUUGAAGACACAUAUAAAACCAUAAUAACAAAUCUUUGCCAUUUAUUUUUCGGCUUCACCGCUUAUUUUUCGGUGUAUCAGCGCUGACUUUUCGCUGUAAGCCACCCUUAGAAGCUUCUUCGCCUUUUAUUUUGGUGGAAUCAGCGUUGACUUUUCGCUGUAAGCCUCCCUUAGGAUCUUCUUCGCCUUUUAUUUCGGCGGAAUCAGCGUUGACUUUUCGCUGUAAGCUCUGCAUUCCCUUAGAAACGACUUUUGAGCAGAAAACUUACGCUGCGCUCCCUUAGGAACGGCUUUUUUGUGGCUUCGUCGUGCUCUGCAUCCCCUUUGGGACGUUUUUUGAGCUUCUCCGUGUUUUUUCUUUUUCUCAUUGCACUCGAUGGUGCAUGCCCAGCCUUUACAUUUACAUCUUCGGGGGAUACUGCUCUUGUAGAGCUGAUAUAAGAAAAAGAGAAAUUACAUGCUAUGGCCCCAUUAAAAACCUUUCUCCCCUUUAGAAAGGAAAAGUGUGCCAUAGGAAAGAAUAAAAAAGAUUACAUCAGGCUACACAUAAUACCGCCGAAGCUCAUCCUCGUUCCAAGAUCUAGGAAUGUCGCUGUCGUCCAUAUCCUUCAGCCUAUAAGAGCCGGGUCUUGACGAAGAUACUACCAAGAAAGGCCCUUCCCAUUUCAACUGUAACUUGCCCACUGUGUCUGGGUUGGUGACUCUCCGAAGUACCAAGUGUCCUGGCUUAAUAUUUUUUAGCCGAAUCUUUCUGUCACGCCAUUUUAUUGUCUCGGCUUGAUAUUUAUUGAUAUUCUCUACAGCCUGAAGCCUGAUCCCUUCUAUAGCAUCUUUUGCCACAGAAUAAUCAGCUUCAUCUUCUGCCGAAGCCAUUGUUCUUAUUGAUCCCGCUUUAGCUUCUUCUGGAGUUAUUGCUUCGUCACCAAACAACAAUUUGAAUGGUGUAAAACCUGUUGACCUUGAUAUUGUUGUGUUGUGGCUCCACACCACUUUGAUUAAUUCGUCCGGCCACUUCCCCCUUGGCUGGUUGAAGAUUAACUUCAUUAUUCCUAUCAUUAUAAUGCCAUUAGCUCUUUCUACAAGUCCAUUUGACUCCGGAUGCCGAACUGAUGCAAAAUGGAUCUUCGUGCCAAUUUGUUCACAAAAUUCUCUGAAAGCUUCGGCAUCAAACUGCGUUCCGUUGUCCACGGUAAUGCCUUCGGCACUCCGAAGCGACAAACAAUAUUUUGCCAAAAAAACUUUUGAACAGUGACCGAAGUUAUUGUGGCUAAAGGCUUUGCCUCAAUCCAUUUAGAAAAAUAUUCCACUGCUACUACAACAUAUUUCAAAUUCCCUUGCGCUGGUGGGAGUGGGCCUAGCAAAUCAAGGCCCCAUCUUUGCAAUGGCCAAGUGGGCUGUAUUAAUUGAGUUAGAGACAAAGGUUGUUUUUGAUCUCUUGCACAUAUUUGACAUCCUUUGCAUUUUUGGACUAAUUCUGCUGCAUCCGAAGCUGCCUUCGGCCAAUAGAAUCCUUGACGAAAAACUUUACCCAACAGAGGCCUGGAUCCGAUGUGAGAUCCACAGAGGUCUGCAUGUAUUUCUUUCAUCAGCUCUAUACCUUCAGUUCUGGAUAGACAUUUGAGUAAUGGGGAACAGACUCCAUGCUUGUAUAACUCCCCUUCUAUUAUUACAUAUGGACGUGCUCUCGCCGCUAUUCUCUUUUGAUAAGCUUCGUCAUCUGAAAGAAAAUUGCCCUGGAGAAAAGAAAUGAUCUCGGUUCUCCAAUCUUCGCUAUAAACAGGAGAUAUAUUGAGCACUGCUCUUUCAAGAAGGUCAACCGAAGGUGCUUUUAUUGUUUCAAAGAAAACUUUCGAAGGUAAUGGCAGCCCUUGUGCUGCUGACUUGGCUAGUAGAUCAGCGUGUUCAUUUUCUCCUCGUGAAAUAUUCUUAACAGAAAACCCUUUGAAGGAGGCUUCAAGUCUUCGAACUAUAUCCAAAUAUUUUUCAAGCUUCGGAUCUCUUGCUUUGCAGCUUUUGUCAACAUGGCCAGAAAUAACUUGAGAAUCAGUUUUGAGGACCACCCUUCUUAUCCCCAUUGCUUUCAACUUUCGAAGACCCAAAAGUAAAGCUUCGUAUUCAGCAAUAUUAUUUGUACAACUAAAAUCAAGUUUCACUGCGUAGCAUGUUCUGACUUUGGAAGGUGCAAUUAAGACGGUAGCUGCACCUGCCCCGAAGGUUCCCCAAGAACCAUCGUAGAAUACUAUCCAAGCUUCGGCAUCUUUACUUGCUUCUUCUUCCUGAGCCCCUGGCGUCCAGUCAGUAAUGAAGUCUGCUAACACCUGGGACUGAAUCAAAGAUCUAUGCACAUAAUCAAUGCAGAACUCAUUAAGUUCCGCAGCCCACUUCCCAAUCCUUCCAGUAGCUUCUCUAUUUCUCAUAAUAUCCUUCAAAGGCUGUGAAGAAGGAACAAUUAUAUGGUAUGCUUGAAAAUAAUGUCGAAGUUUCCUGGAAGCCAUCAAAACAGCAUACAACACCUUCUCCAAUUCUGUAUAGUUUUUCUUUGAUAAACUAAGGACUUCAGAGACGAAGUAUAUUGGGGCUUGCUUUUUGGCUUGCCCUUCAAGCUUCUCUUGGACAAGUGCCGCACUAACCACUGAGUGCGAAGCUGCCACAUAUAACAAUAGAGGAGCCCCUGGCGUUGGUGGAGUUAAUGUCGUUAGAUCUAUCAAAUACUGCUUCAGCUCGUUGAAGGCUUUUUGCUGGACUGACCCCCAUUGAAAAACUUCGGCUGACUUCAACACUUCAAAAAAUGGUAGAUUUCUCUCUGCUGAUCUAGAUAUGAAUCGAUUCAGAGAUGCAAGUCUUCUCGUCAGUCGUUGAGCCCCCUUAUUUGUGCUUGGUGGUUCCAUCCGAAGAAUAGCUUCGAUUUUAUUUGGAUUAGCCUCAAUCUCUUUUGUUGAAACUAGACAACCAAGGAAUUUCCCCUUCUUCACUCCGAAGACACACUUUUCUGGAUUCAGCUUCAGACCAGCUUGUCUAAAAUUAGCGAAGGUCUCCUGCAGAUCAGCAAUGUGAUUUUCUUACUUCGUGCUUUUUACUAUGAUAUCAUCAACAUAAGUUAGCACAUUUCUGCCUAUAUGAGAAUGAAGAACCUUCGUUGUCAUCCUGCUGAAGCUUCCUCCAGCAUUCUUGAGCCCCUUAGGCAUCCGAAGAUAACAAUAUGUUCCACUAGGGGUUAUGAAGCUGGUUUUUGGCUCAUCCUUUUUCUUCAUCCAAAUUUGAUGAUAGCCUGAAUAACAAUCUAGCAGACUCAUAAGCUCUGACGAAGCUGCUGCGUCAACUAGGGAAUCUAUCCUUGGUAAUGGAAACUCAUCCUUCGGACAAGCCUUGUUGAGAUCGGUAAAAUCAAUACACAUCCUCCAUUUGCCAUUGGCCUUUUUAACCAUAACAGUGUUGGCUAGCCAUUCUGGGUACUUCACUUCUCUGAUGACUCCGGCUUUAAGGAGUCUUUUUACUUCAUUCCGAGCACCUUCGGCCUUGUCAUCAGACAUUUUCCGAAGCCUCUGCUUUCUGGCUCUGAAGGAUGGAUCAACAUUGAUCGAGUGUUCGAUAACAUCCCUGUUGACUCCACAGAGAUCAUUAGCUGACCAUGCAAAUACAUCUUUGUUGUUGAACAGAAACCUUAUCAGAGUUUUCUCCUGUUCCUCAGACAAUUGAGAUCCCAAUAGCACCUUCUGCUCUGCUAUAUCGUCACAUAAGAGCAUGGGCUUCGGCUAAUCGGCCGAAGCAGCUUUCUCCCUUCUAUACUUGUAUUGCUCACAAGCUUCAGCUCCAUCUAUGUUAUGGAUUGCUUUUGAAUCUUUCCAAUUUCCUUCGGCCUUUCUGGCAGCUUCCUGACUUCCAUGAAUGGCAAUAGGCCCUUGCUCCGAAGGUAUCUUCAUGCAAAGAUAUGCUGGAUGGAGAAUUGCUUCAAAAGCAUUAAGAGUACCACGACCAAUGAUUGCAUUGUAAGGGUACUCCAUGUCAACAAUAUCAAACACAACUUGUUCAGUCCUUGUGUUGUUGAUAAAUCCGAAGGUUACCGGCAUCGUGAUCUUGCCAAGUGCUACAAUCUGCAUUCCUCCGAAGCCACAAAGGGGAUGUGUGGCAUCAUGGAUCUUAUCUUCGGGCUCUUGCAUCUGUCAGAAGGCCUUAGCAAAUAUAAUAUCCGCUGCACUGCCUGUGUCAACCAAAACAUUGUGGACCAGAAAUCCUUUGAUAACACAAGAGAUAACCAUAGCAUCAUUGUGAGGGUAAUCCUUGAGCUGAAGAUCCUCUUGGGAGAAGGUAAUCGGGUUAUGAGACCAUCUUGACUUGAUGAAGGGUCCUUGCACCUCUACAUGUUGUACCCUUCUCUGUGCCUCCUUCUUCUGCUUCUUGUUAGCCGGCUCUGAGCAUGAACCGCCUAUUAUCGGGAGUACAAGCUUCGGAGCCGAAGCAACUCUAGCUUUGAACGAAGCCAUCAGCUCAGAAAGUGGAAGUGGGUUCACCGGAGGUGGGCGCCAAUGUUGGGGACUUGUUCUCAAAUACUAUGAAUUAAGAACAAGGCAACACAAAAGAAGGUUAAAUGGUUAAUGCCAUUCGUCCUUUGAAACAUUAUUUCCCUUGGGAUAUAACGAUCUUCGGACGAAGGCCAUGAAGGAUACACCUUCAUCAUUAUGAUAUAUGAUAGUGAUAAUAAAAAACAUAUAAAAUACAAAAGAUAGCAUAGACAUUUAUAUAUCAUUAUUAAAUCAUUUCUAUUUUAUUAACACGGAAAAAUAGAAAUGACAUUAAACUACAAGUGUACCUUCGGCUUGAAUGAAAGCAAAAGUACAAGUGUGACGUAUCCGUGAUUACAGGAUCGUGUGAACAGUGUCGGGAUACUGUUCACCUAUUUAUAGGCACAGGAUGCAACCUGCGCAAAAUUACAUUUAUGUCCUUUACAAUCAACUAUAAUUUAUGACACAAAACAUCAUGGGUCUUUAAGUCAAUUCAUCUUUAAGUCGGUUCGACCCUUCAUCUUGAGAUUUGUCUCUGUACCGAAGCUUUAGAGAUGAUAGCUUCGGCGCUUGCUUCUGAGAAGACCUUUCGAAGGUGUUCUUUUUAGGAUCUUCGGCUACGAAGCAUACCCCCAACAGGAUGUUUGGAUAAUUUCUUUAUCCAAUGCAAGAUGUGCAUGGGCUUAAAGCUCGGAUCUCGAUUCCAUGUUCUCACUAUUUAAUCUGUAACAUUUUAGUUGUCAUAUUUCCAUCCUAGAUCAUGCCCUUGUUCAAUUGACACAAGCUGAUGUACCUUAUCCAGUUCGCCUGUUCUUAAGGAUCGCCAUGUUACUUUAUCAACCUAACCUAGGAAAGGCAUGUCCGACCAUUUUUUUGAGUUUCAUGCCUUUGGUUUCCUCAUAUCUAUCGAAGGCAUACCAACUUAAUUUUAUAAUUGUUUUUCCUCUGUAUCUAAUUAGCUACUAAUCCUUGACCUUGUAAUCUCUAUGAUGGGCAUAGAAAUAUGCUUGGGACUGAAUUAACCGUCUCCCAUCGUACUCAUUUAUCAACAAGUUUAGGUUAUGGCCAUGCCUUGUUCAUUUCAUCGGGCCAUGAUCUAUUUGGCUCUCUACUUGUAACCAUUCUUACAGGUGGAGUAUCUCUUUGCAUAUUGUCACCCUUGCUCAACCUAUUGGUGUGGCGCGAGAUUUCUUAUUGGUUACGUCUGGUAUUGGCGUUAUGACUAAAAUUGAUGAUGUCGCGCCAAAACCGAGGGCCUCCUGUGGAUGCAUACACAUGGAUGCGCUGCUUGGCACGCGCUAGUAUCACGGUUAGUAGUUGUAAUCCAUUAUGAGACUAUGUCAAUGCGUUAUCUUGGCACAAUAUGUUUUUGCUACGUGAGAUUCGUUAUUGGUGCCAGUUCGGUAAUGGUGUCAUGGUUAAUGACUUAUGGUGCCGCAGCGAAACUGAGAGCCUCCUGUGAAUGCGCACACAUGAUUUUGCUGCUUGGCGCAUGCCGAUACCAAGGUCUCUGGUCAUGAUCCAUUGUGGAACUACACUGAUGUGUUAUCUCCCUUAGAUCUUUUCCUUGAAACAAUUUCUAUGUUGUUUGUCAAGUGAUCAAGCAACGUCCAUCAUCUCUGUUGGAUCAAAACUGGCAUACCACUUUUAUGUGUGGUCUCUUUUCUUUUGAUCUUGGUAGUGUCUACUUAUACAAGUUCCCUUUACAUCCUUUGUGUAAAGGUGAAGCCUUGGAGCUUUAUAGUGUUGGAAAACAACUGAUUAGCUCUCAAAAUAGAGAUUGACUUUCCCCUGCUGCUGAGAUGCAGGAGUUUGUUCAUUCGCUCUCUUAUUUAAUCCAUGUAUUCCCAAACCAAGUCAUUUCAUCUCACAUGAAGAAACGGAUGAACAACAUGACCCGAUGGCUUUCUGCCCAAGUGCAUGAUCAACUGUUAACAAGAGAGAACUCUCAACCCUUGGCUUACCGAUGGUACUGAGAGGACUUGCUCAAUAUCAAAAAUAGUUCAACAAGUUGAUUUUACUAACUUGUAGCUACAUUAUGAACAAAGGUUGAGUUUAGAGAUCGUUUUAUCGAGUUAUCUAAACUCACUUUGGUUCGACCCAUCCUAAGGAAGUGUUUAUAAGAAUCGAGAUUAAGUCGACCAGUAUCCACCUAAUCAUCACUCUAGUCAUGCCUCGAUCGUCUCAUGUGUGCUUUUCCAGCAUUUGUGAUCAAGUCGAGCCAUGCCUAAUGCUUGAUAAAAUGGAUUAGACACAAAGUCAGCAUUUACAGAUCCCUCCGCUGGUGAUUUUCUCGAGUCUAUAUCACCAUUCAGGGACUUGGAUUCUCGGGCUAACACGAGUUAAUUGUGAUGUUAUUUGACAUUCACACCCGUCUCGUGUGCUACGAACUUACCGUGACCACUUGUUGGUAAACCUCUUUUGUGUGUUUUACCCAAGAGGUUGCAUUUGGUUCUGUUUGGGUAAAGUUGCAUAUCUACCGCUCGCCCAAUAGACUCAGAUAGUAUAGUGUCAUCAGAAAAAGCAAACUGCGCACAUAGAACCAUAUGUGUUCUUCUUGCAGGCAUUGUCUCUAUUGUUGGACAUCUCUAAAUUAGCCUAAGGUGAUGCAUGUUAUGUUCACUAGAGAAAUAAACAUCCUGAGACACCCGCCUUUAUUUGGAAAUGUCUCACGAUUAGAGCAUCUCCAACAACGUGACCUAUAAAAAUGGCCUAUAAUUUGAAAAUAAGUAUAUUUUAUAGAAUUUAGGGCACCAACAAAACACCUCGCUCCAACAGUAAAGCCCUAAAUCUAGAUUAUAGGGCAGCCCACUACGGUGUAGUAUAUUUGAGUCACUUGGGAGGGUGCCCUAUAGUUUUUUGACAAAAAAUUAUGAAAUAGAGCACUGUUGGAGUAGUUUUUCCUGUGUAGAGCCCCAUAUUUCAAUUUGAGGCACUAGUUUGAGGCAUUGUUGGAGAUGCUCUUAUCGCUGAUAUGGACAUGGGUUACAUGCUUCUCUACUCUUAGAAGUCUUUCGUUCCGAAUCUCGGGACGAGAUUCUUUUAAGGGGGGAGGGAUGUAACACCCCUGGUGUUUAUAUUCCGCUCGACAACAAGUAUGGAUUUAAGCACGUAAUAUCAGUGGAUAAAACGGAUGCUAUAUUUUAAUCAUCUUCGCCUAUUGCGAUUUUAAUAUCGCAUCUAUUUUGUCUGUCGCGAGUUCGACAUUGUUUUUAUUUUUUUAUCUAUCCGGUCUCUUCCUAAAUUUUCGUGAUGUUCGGAACAUAGUUGUUCUGGAGAUCGGCGAGUCUGGUGAUUAUUUAUUAUUCAUCGCUCGCGCAAAUACGAUUUUGGAAAUUUAGUCCAGUCCUCCGAUUGCAUCCCAAACAAAUUAAGUAGAACUCAACGACAAAAGCAUUAACACAAAAUUAAAUUGGAUCAAGAUAAUUAGAGCUGAUAUUGGGUAUACAUAAUUCAUCUAUUUCCCUGUUCUGACUGUGGAUAAAAUUUUCUGGUUCCAAAUCAAAUCUAGCACAGUCUAAAACCGCGAAGAUAAUGACGUAGUCUAGUGCCAGUUUAAAAUUAAUCGAAUAAUGCGGCUUGGAAACGUCACCGAUCUAAUUCGCUCUUGUUCAAGCAAUAUCUACGAAUCCGGUAGCGACAAUAUUAAGGAUAGGCUGUUAAAAUGAUCUAAACCCAAACUAAACAAAACCAAAAUAAUUGUCAGCCGAUUCGAUUUCCUAUUUCAAAGUCCAAGAAAAUAAUAUGUGUAGCCCCAAAUGUUGUUGUGAUCUGUUCGGAUUCUCUCUUGCCCAAAUCAUAAACCUAGAACUCAGAUUAGAUUUUCGCGGCUCGUGUUGCAAUAAUUUGGAUUAGCAUGUGUUUGGAUUGAAAGAAAAUGAGAAGGAAAUUUUACUUUCCCUUGCUCACGUCGACCACAAGGCUUUUAGCCUUUUCAUUUGGCAGUCUUAUCUCCUAGAGAUUUUUCCAUCCGAUGCCUCUUCUUGUCCCCUCUCCUCUCCAUUUCUUACGUAACGCAGGCACUCAUCUCCUUGGGAUAUUUCUAGCCACCGCCCAGUCUUCAUCUUCUUCCCCACGGGCGUCCUCCCUAGUUCCAAGUCUCUUUCUGCCAAUCGCCCAUAGCACCCAGCCGCUUGGCCUCCCUGGUACUCGCUCUCCCUCAGUGCUCUGGCUCCUGCUUCCCUCGCCAGCGCGCUCCAAUCCCCUGCACGCGGAGCUUCUCCUCUGCCAGUGCUCCUCCAUGUGUGCACGGUCCAUCGCUCUCGCGUCGCUCGGUCUGCGCGUCCCUGCGUCCGGAUCCUCUCCCUCCAGCUCGGCGCCCAUCCAUGCUGCGUCGCCCUCUCUCUCAUCUCCAAGCCGAGACCCUCGCCGUGAAGCUUCCAUGUGGCCGCGCGUACUCCCUCUGCUUCUCCCUCGUGGCGCUCAACCUUGCCGAGCUUCCUUGCCAUGGCUCUUCCACAGCCCGGCUCUGCCCCAUCGUCGAUCGCCCAUCUCCAUGGUCGCGCGCCCUCCAGUUCUAUGGCCGUGCCGCGCGUCCUGGAGCUCACCGCGCCCGGCCAAGCUCCCCUGUGCACGCCCAGCCACUCCUCUCUCCCUUGCAGCGCGCGUCCCUCUGCUUGCCAAAGCACCAGCUCGGUCGCUCCGUUCGUGCUUCCGCGGAGGCCGCAGCUCUUCCUCUGGUGCGCGCGCCCCAUCUCCCUGGUGCUCGGCCAGCUCACCCAUGGCGCGCCGUGCUCCUCUGCUCUCCCCGCCGGCCCGAGCUCCCUAUGGCGUGCAUCUCCCUGGCAAAAGCUCUCUCUUCCCUCUCCCAUGGCGCGUCUCGAGCUCCACCUCGGGUCGUCGUCUCCGAGCUCGACCCCAAACUGUUGUGCGUCCUAUCCUAUCUCCGAGUCGAGGUUCCUGAAAGUCGCCUAUAGAGGGUGAAUAGGGUGAAUCUGAAAUUUACAAACUUAAGCACAAACUACAAGCCAGGUUAGCGUUAGAAAUAGAAACGAGUCCGAUAGAGAGGGCGCAAAACAAAUCGUGAGCGAAUAAAGAGCGAGACACGAUGAUUUGUUUUACCGAGGUUCGAUUUUUGUAAACCUAAUCCCCGUUGAGGUGGUCACAAAAACUGGAUCUCUUUCAACCCUUUCCCUCUCUCAAACGGUCAAUUAGACCGAGUGAGCUUCUCUUCUCAAUCAAACGAAACACUAAGUUCCCUCAAGGACCACCACACAAUUGGUGUCUCUUGCCUUGGUUACAAUUGAGUUUGAUCACAUGAAUGAAGGGAAAAAGAAGCAAUCCAAGCGCAAGAGCUCAAAUGAACACAACAAAUCACUCUAUCUAAUCACUAAAGCUUUGUGUGGAGUUGGGAGAGGAUUUGAUCUCUUUGGUGUGUCUUGUAUUGAAUGCUAGCCCUUGUAAGGUGUAGAAGAGUGGAAAACUUGGAUGCCAUUAAAUGUGGGGUGGUUGGGAUAUUUAUAGCCCCAACCACCAAAAAUGGCCGUUGGAGGUGUGCUGUCAUAUGGCGCACCGGACAGUCCGGUGCGCCACCGGACACUGUUCGGUGCGCAAGCCACGUCAGCCAGCCGUUAGUGUUCGACCGUUGGAGCUCUGACUUGUGGGCCCUCUGGGCUGUCCAGUGGUGCACCGGACAGGUCCUGUAGACUGUUCGGUGCGCCAAUUGCGCGUGCUCUGACUCUGCGCGCACUGUAGCGCAUUGAAUGCGGUUGCAGUCGACCGUUGCGCGCGAAUUAGCCGUUGCUCCGCUGGCACACCGGACAGUCCGGUGAAUUAUAGCGGAGCGCCCUUGGAAAUUCCCGAAGGUGAAGAGUUCAGCCUCGAGUGCCCUAGUGCACCGGACACUGUCCGGUGGUGCACCGGACAGUCUGGUGCGCCAGACCAGGGUGCCUUCCGGGUUGUCUUUUGCUCUCUUGUUUGAACCCUUUUCUUGGUAUUUUUAUUGGCUUAUUGUGAACCUUUGGCACCUGUAGAACUUAUAGACUAGAGCAAACUAGUUAGUCCAAUUAUUUGUGUUGUGCAAUUCAAUCACCAAAAUCAAUUAGGAAAUAGGUGUAAGUCUAAUUCCCUUUCAAUCUCCCCCUUUUUGGUGAUUGAUGCCAACACAAACCAAAUCAAGUAUAGAAGUGCAUAAUUGAACUAGUUUGCAUAAUGUAAGUGCAAAGGUUACUUAGAAUUGAGCCAAUAUAAAUACUCAUAAGAUACACAAGAAUUGUUUCUUUAAUUUUUGACAUUUUGGACCACGCUUGCACCACAUAUUUUGUUUUUGCAAAUUCUUUUGUAAAUUCUUUUCAAAGUCCUUUUGCAAAUAGUCAAAGGUAAAUGAAUAAGUUUUGAGAAGCAUUUACAAGAUUUGACAUUUUCUCCCCCUGUUUCAAAUGCUUUUCCUUUGACUAAACAAAACUCCCCCUCAAUAAAUUCUCCUCUUAGUGUUCAAGAGGGUUUUAAGAUAUUAAUUUUGAAAAUAUUAUUUUCUCCCCCUUUUGAACACAAUAAGAUACCAAUUUGAAAAUCAUUAGUUUUAAAAUUAGGUGGUGGUGUGGUCCUUUUGCUUUGGGCUAAUACUUUUCUCCCCCUUUGGCAUGAAUCGCCAAAAACGAAUACUUAGAGUGAAAUAUAAGCCCUCUGUAAAACUACUUUCUCCCCUUUGGCAAAUAAAACAUGAGUGAAGAUUAUACCAAAGACGGAGAGUUGCUCGGAGCGACGGCGAAGGAUGAGUUAUAGAGUGGAGUGGAAGCCUUUGCCUUGCCGAAGACUCCAAUUCCCUUUCAAUAUACUUAUGACUUGGUUUGAAAUAUACUUGAAAAACACAUUAUUCAUAGCACAUGAAAGAGAUAUGAUCAAAGGUAUAGUAAUGAGCUAUGUGUGCAAAAACAUCAAAAGAAAUUCCUAGAAUCAAGGAUAUUCAGCUCAUGCCUAAGUUUGUUAAAAGUUUGUUCAUCUAGUGGCUUGGUAAAGAUAUCGGCUAAUUGUUCCUUAGUGUUAAUAUAUGCAAUCUCGAUAUCCCCCUUUUGUUGGUGAUCCCUUAAGAAAUGAUACCGAAUGGCUAUGUGUUUAGUGCGGCUAUGCUCCACCGGAUUAUCCGCCAUGUAGAUUGCACUCUCAUUAUCACAUAGAAGAGGAACUUUAGUUAAUUUGUAACCAUAGUCCCUAAGGGUUUGCCUCAUCCAAAGCAAUUGCGCGCAACAAUGGCCUGCGGCAAUAUACUCGGCUUCGGCGGUAGAAAGAGCGACGGAAUUUUGCUUGUUUGAAGCCCAAGACACCAGGGAUCUUCCCAAGAACUGGCAAGUCCCCGAUGUGCUCUUUCUAUUAAUUUUGCAACCCGCCCAAUCGGCAUCGGAAUAACCAAUUAAGUCAAAUGUGGAUUCCCGAGGGUACCAAAGCCCAAACUUUGGAGUAUAAGCCAAAUAUUUCAAGAUUCGUUUUACGGCCGUAAGGUGAGCUUUUGAAGCACAUAAAUAGAGUAAAGAACCUAUCAUCGACCGGUAUACCUUUUGAUCUACGGAUUUACCUCCUGUGUCGAGGUCGAGAUGCCCAUUGGUUUCCAUGGGAGUCUUGAUGGGUUUGGCAUCCUUCAUCCCAAACUUGUUUAGAAUGUCUUGAGUAUACUUCGUUUGGCUAAUGAAGGUGCCCUCUUGGAGUUGCUUCACUUGAAAUCCUAAGAAGUACUUCAACUCCCCCAUCAUAGACAUCUCGAAUUUUUGUGUCAUGAUCCUACUAAACUCUUCACAUGUAGAUUCGUUAGUAGACCCAAAUAUAAUAUCAUCAACAUAAAUUUGGCAUACAAACAAAUCAUUUUCAAGUGUUUUGGUAAAGAGUGUAGGAUCGGCUUUUCCGACUUUAAAGCCAUUAGUGAUAAGCAAAUCUCUUAGGCAUUCAUACCAUGCUCUUGGGGCUUGCUUGAGCCCAUAAAGCGCCUUAGAGAGUUUGUAAAUAUGGUUAGGAUACUCACUAUCUUCAAAGCCGGGAGGUUGCUCAACAUAAACCUCUUCCUUGAUCGGUCCAUUGAGGAAGGCACUCUUCAUGUCCAUUUGGUAAAGCUUGAAGCCAUGGUAAGUAGAAUAGGCUAAUAAUAUACGAAUUGACUCAAGCCUAGCUACGGGUGCAUAGGUUUCACCGAAAUCCAAACCUUCGACUUGGGAGUAUCCCUUGGCCACAAGUCGGGCUUUGUUCCUUGUCACCACACCAUGCUCGUCUUGCUUGUUGUGGAAGACCCACUUGGUUCCUACAACAUUUUGGUUAGGACGUGGAACUAAAUGCCAUACCUCAUUUCUAGUGAAGUUGUUGAGCUCCUCUUGCAUCGCCACCACCCAAUCCGAAUCUUGAAGUGCUUCCUCUACCCUGUGUGGCUCAAUAGAGGAAACAAAAGAGUAAUGCUCACAAAAAUGUGCAACACGAGAUCUAGUGGUUACCCCCUUAUGAAUGUCGCCUAGGAUGGUGUCGACGGGGUGAUCUCGUUGGAUUGCUUGGUGGACUCUUGGGUGUGGCGGUCUUGGUUCUUCAUCCUCCUUGUCUUGAUCAUUUGCAUCUCCCACUUGAUCAUUGCCGUCAUCUUGAGGUGGCUCAUCUUCUUGAUCUUCUCCUUCAUCAUUUUCAGCCUCAUCCUCAAUUUGAGUUGGUGGAGGAGGAUGGUUGAUCUUGUGCAUUUGGAGGCUCUUUGGAUUCCUUAGGACACACAUCCCCAAUGGACAUGUUCCUUAGCGCGAUGCACGGAGCCUCUUCAUCACCUAUCUCAUCAAGAUCAACUUGCUCGGUUAGGAGUUCGUAUGAUGUCUUGUUGAGGAUUCGGUGUAGAUACAACCGGUUGAUGGCGUAGCAAGCGGUGUUGACUGCCUCCGCCCAAAACCGAUCCGAAGUCUUGUACUCAUCAAGCAUGGUUGUUGCCAUGUCCAAUAGAGUUCGAUUCUUCCUCUACACUACACCAUUUUGUUGUGGUGUGUAGGGAGAAGAGAACUCAUGCUUGAUGCCCUCCUCCUCAAGGAAGCCUUCGAUUUGUGAGUUCUUGAACUCUGUCCCGUUGUCGCUUCUUAUUUUCUUGAUACUUAAGCCGAACUUGUUUUGAGCUCGUCUCAAGAAUCCUUUUAAGGUCUCUUGGGUAUGAGAUUUUUCCUGCAAAAAGAAUACCCAAGUGAAGCGAGAAUAAUCAUCCACAAUAACUAGACAGUACUUACUCCCGCCAAUGCUUAAGUAAGCAAUCGGGCCGAAUAGGUUCAUGUGUAGGAGCUCCAGUGGCCUGUCAGUCGUCAUGAUGUUCUUAUGCGAAUGAUGAACACCAACUUGCUUCCCUGCUUGGCAUGCGCUACAAAUCCUGUCUUUCUCAAAAUGAACAUUUGUUAAUCCUAAAAUGUGCUCUCCCUUUAGAAGCUUAUGAAGAUUCUUCAUCCCAACAUGGGCUAGUCAGCGGUGCUAGAGCCAACCCAUGUUAGUCUUAGCAAUUAAGCAAGUGUCGAGUUCAGCUCUAUCAAAAUCUACCAAGUAUAGCUGACCCUCUAACACUCCUUUAAAUGCUAUUGAAUCAUCACUUCUUCUAAAGAUAGUGACACCUACAUCAGUAAAAAGACAGUUGUAGCCCAUUUGACAUAAUUGCGAAACGGAAAGCAAAUUAUAGUCUAAAGAAUCUACAAGAAAAACAUUGGAAAUGGAAUGGUCAGGUGAAAUAGCAAUUUUACCCAAACCUUGGUUUCCAUCCCCGAAUGUGAUAGCUCGUUGGGUAUCUUGGUUUUUCUCAUAGAAGGAGAACAUCUUCUUCUCCCCUGUCAUAUGGUUUGUGCACCCGCUGUCGAUUAUCCAACUUGAGCCCCCGGAUGCAUAAACCUACAAAACAAGUUUAGUUCUUUGUUUUAGGUACCAAAACUGUUUUGGGUCCUUUGGCAUUAGAUACAAGAACUUUGGGUACCCAAACACAAGUUUUUGAUCCCUUGUGUUUGCCCCCAACCAACUUGGCAACUACCUUGCUGGAUUUGUUAGUCAAAACAUAAGAUGCAUCAAAAGUUUUAAAUGAAAUAUCAUGAUCAUUUGAUGCACUAGGAGUUUUCUUCUUAAGCAAUUUAGCACGGGUUGAUUGCAUAGAGCUAGAUGUCUCACCCUUAUACAUAAAAGCAUGAUUAGGGCCAGAGUGAGACUUCCUAGAAUGAAUUCUCCUAAUUUUGCUCUCAGGGUAACCGGCAGGGUAUAAAAUGUAAUCCUUGUUAUCUUGAGGCAUGGGAGCCUUGCCCUUAACAAAAUUAGACAAUCUUUUAGGAGGGGCAUUGAGUUUGACAUUGCCUCCCUGUUGGAAGCCAAUGCCAUCCUUAAUGUCAGGGCGUCUCCCACUAUAAAGCAUGCUUCUAGCAAAUUUAAAUUUUUUGUUUUCUAAGUCAUGCUCGGCAAUUUUUGCAUCUAAUUUUGCUAUAUGAUCAUUUUGUUGUUUAAUUAAAGCCAUGUGAUCAUGAAUAGCAUCAAUGUUAAUGUCUCUACAUCUAGUACAAAUGGAAGUAUGCUCAACGGUAGAUGUAGAUGAUUUGCAAGAUUUUAAUUCUACAACCUUAGCAUGCAAUAUAUCAUUUUCACUUCUAAGGCUAGUGAGAGAAUCAUUCAAUUUUUCAAUCUUAGCAAGCAAAUUGGCAUUAUCAUCUCUAAGAUUGGGAAUUGAAUCCUCACAAGCAUUUGAAUCAACCUUAGCAAUUAAACCAGCAUUUUCAUUUCUAAGGUUGUUGAAAACAUCAUGGCAUGUGCUUAGCUCACUAGAUAGUUUUUCACAUUUUUCUACUUCUAGAGCGUAAGCAUUUUUAACCUUGACAUGCUUUUUGUUUUCCUUGAUUAGGAAGUCCUCUUGGGUGUCCAAGAGUUCAUCCUUUUCAUGAAUGGCACUAAUUAAUUCAUUUAAUUUUUCUUUUUGUUGCAUGUUUAGGUUGGCAAAAAGGGUAUGCAAAUUAUCCUCCUCAUCACUAGCAUUAUCAUCACUAGAGGACUCAUAUUUAGUGGAGGAUUUGGAUUUCACCUUCUUUUUGCCGUCCUUUGCCAUGAGGCACUUGUGGCUGACGUUGGGGAAGAGGAGUCCCUUUGUGACGGCGAUGUUGGCGGCGUCCUCGUCGGAGGAGGAGUCGGAGGAGCUCUCCUCGGAGUCCCACUCGCGGCACACAUGGGCAUCGCCGCCCCUCUUCUUGUAGUACCUCUUCUUCUCCUUUCUUCUCCCCUUCUUGUCGUCGCCCCUAUCACUAUCACUAGAUAAUGGACAUUUAGCAAUGAAAUGACCGGGCUUACCACAUUUGUAGCAAACUUUCUUGGAGUGGAGCUUGUAAUCUUUCCCCCUCCUUUGCUUGAGGAUUUGGCGGAAGCUCUUGAUGAUGAGCGCCAUCUCCUCAUUGUCGAGCUUAGAGGCGUCGAUUGGUUGUCUACUUGAUGUAGACUCCUCCUUCUUCUCCUCCGUCGCCUUGAAUGCAACCGGUUGUGUUUCGGGCGCGGAGGGGCCAUCUAGCUCGAUGAUCUUCUUUGAGCCUUUGAUCAUCAACUCAAAGCUCACAAAAUUACCUAUUACUUCCUCGGGAGUCAUUAGUGUAUAUCUAGGAUUACCACGAAUUAAUUGAACUUGAGUAGGGUUAAGGAAAACAAGUGAUCUAAGAAUAACCUUAACCACCUCAUGGUCAUCCCAUUUCUUACUCCCGAGGUUGCGCACUUGGUUCACCAAGGUUUUGAGCCGGUUGUACAUUUCUUGUGGCUCUUCACCUUGGCGAAGUCGGAAGCGACCGAGCUCCCCCUCGAUCGUCUCUCUCUUGGUGAUUUUGGUCACCUUGUCUCCUUCGUGCGCGGUCUUGAGCACGUCCCAAAUCUCCUUGGCGCUCUUCAAUCCUUGCACCUUGUUAUACUCCUCUCGACUUAGAGAGGUGAGGAGUAUAGUGGUGGCUUGGGAGUUGAAGUGCUCGAUUUGGGCCACUUCGUCCUCAUCAUAAUCUUCAUCCCCUAUGAAAGGUACCUGUACACCAAACUCAACAACAUCCCAUAUACUUUUGUGGAGUGAGGUUAGGUGAUAUCGCAUCAUAUCACUCCACCUAGCAUAAUCUUCACCAUCAAACGUUGGUGGUUUGCCUAAUGGGACGGAAAGUAAAGGCGUAUGUUUAGGAAUGCGAGGAUAGCGUAGGGGGAUCUUACAAAACUUCUUGCGCUCAUGGCGCUUAGAAGUUACGGACGGCAUGUCGGAGCCGGAGGUGGAUGGCGACGAGGAGUCGGUCUCGUAGUAGACCACCUUCCUCAUCUUCUUCUUCUUGUCACCGCUCCGACGCGACUUGUGUGAAGGGGAUUCCUUUUCCUUCCCCUUCCCUUUGUUGUAGGACUCUCCCGAUGGAGCCUUCCCGUGGCUUGUAGUGGGCUUCUCGCCGGUCCCCAUCUCUUUCUUGGCGUGAUCUCCCGACAUCACUUCGAGCGGCUAGGCUCUAAUGAAGCAUCGGGCUCUGAUACCAAUUGAAAGUCGCCUAGAGGGGGGGUGAAUAGGGCAAAUCUGAAAUUUACAAACUUAGUCACAAACUACAAGUCGGGUUAGCGUUAGAAAUAGAAACGAGUCCGAGAGAUAGGGCGCAAAACAAAUCGUGAGCGAAUAAAGAGCGAGACACGAUGAUUUGUUUUACCGAGGUUCGGUUUUUGCAAACCUACUCCCCGUUGAGGUGGUCACAAAGACCGGGUCUCUUUCAACCCUUUCCCUCUCUCAAACGGUCACUUAGACCGAGUGAGCUUCUCUUCUCAAUCAAACGGAACACUAAGUUCCCGCAAGGACCACCACACAAUUGGUGUCUCUUGCCUUGGUUACAAUUGAGUUUGAUCACAAGAAUGAAGGAAGAAAAGAAGCAAUCCAAGUGCAAGAGCUCAAAUGAACACAACAAAUCACUCUCUCUAAUCACUAAAGCUUUGUGUGGAGUUGGGAGAGGAUUUGAUCUCUUUGGUGUGUCUUGUAUUGAAUGCUAGCUCUUGUAAGGUGUAGAAGAGUGGAAAACUUGGAUGCUAUUGAAUGUGGGGUGGUUGGGGUAUUUAUAGCCACAAACACCAAAAAUGGUCGUUGGAGGUGUGCUGUCGCAUGGCGCACCGGACAGUCCGGUGCGCCACCGGACACUGUCCGGUGUGCCUGCCACGUCAGCCAGCCGUUGGGGUUCGACCGUUGGAGCUCUGACUUGUGGGCCCUCUGGGCUGUCCGGUGGUGCACCAGACAGGUCCUGUAGACUGUUCGGUGCGCCAACUGCGCGUGCUCUGACUCUGCGCGCAAUAUAGCGCAUUGAAUGCGGUUGCAGUCGACCGUUGCGCGCGAAGUAGCCGUUGCUCCGCUGGCACACCAGACAGUCCGGUGAAUUAUAGCGGAGCGCCCUUGGAAAUUCUCGAAGGUGAAAAGUUCAGCCUCGAGUGCCCUAGUGCAUCGGACACUGUUCGGUGGUGCACCAGACACUGUCCGGUGGCACACCGGACAGUCCGGUGCGCCAGACCAGGGUGCCUUCCGGGUUGUCUUUUGCUCUCUUGUUUGAACCCUUUUCUUGGUCUUUUUAUUGGCUUAUUGUGAACCUUUGGCACCUGUAGAACUUAUAGACUAGAGCAAACUAGUUAGUCCAAUUAUUUGUGUUGUGCAAUUCAACCACCAAAAUCAAUUAGGAAAUGGGUGUAAGCCUAAUUCCCUUUCAGUCCCGCCGUUCGAGCUUCUCCCUGGUCGCCCCUACGGCCGAACGCUCAGCAACUCCUCUACUUCUUCCCUGCGCACAGCUUCCUCAAGUCGUCGUGUGCCCAGCUCGCCCAGUCUGCGUGCCGAGCUCCCUCAUGGCGACUUCCUACUUGCCAGCACGCCCUCUCGGCUCGCUCGACUUUAAUCCCCAUCGCGUCGUCGACCUCACCGGUUGGCGUCGUUCGUCGUCUCGUCGUGUGUGCAGUCGCCCCAGAUCUGCAUAGCCUCGCCGCGCCUAUAUAACCCCAGUUGCGAUGCCAUCCACCCCUCCGGUCAUUGACGUCGUGCCUCGCAUCUCGCCUAUUCGAUAAAACACCCAAACCCAUAAACUGUCGACACACUGCUGCGAUACGCGGCUGUCUCCGUCACUUGCGUCAGCUCGCCAGACCUGCAGCUCUAUAUACGUCACCCUCCUGUAUCGUCAUCGAGCCCAUCGAACCCCGUUCUUCCCUGCUCAACCUCGUCAAACCCCGAAUCCCGAACGUUAGGCAAAAAUAAGCGAAGUCCAUGUGCAUCUCUUAUCAAGUGCUCGAUCAAAGACUUCAAUCGAGGGUCAUCGUCGUUCCGUACGUUAUCAAGAAAUCCCAAGAGAUGGGCGAAGACGAAGCUAGCAGCGUGAUAUUCGCCAAGUGCUCGACAAAAAGCUCGAACAAGUCGUCGAUUUCGUGGGUUUAAGUCGGAUUUAAUGGAUGGUAAGUGGAUUAGUUAUUCCAGUCGACUAGAUAUAAUAUUUAUUAGACUGCCUGAGUCGUUUACGGUGAUUUGAUCGGUAGUCGUACAUGUUGCUGAUCCCUUGCUUUAUAGUAGUUAUUAAGUUCUAUGUGGUUUGCUUGGGUUAUUAGUUUCGAGUAAUUUAAUAUUAGUACGGUAUUUGACGUGUAAUCGACGAAAAACCUGGAUUCGUAUUCGUUAAUCAAUGUAGUGAAUCUGAGCAAAAUUUAUUAUUGGCGCACAAGUUUGUUAGCCGAAUUGUUAGAUAGAUUAAAUAAAUAUGUGUGGUGCGAAAUAAAAUUAAAUUAGUUCUUGGUAAGCAAAGUGGUAUAGUUUAUAAAGCGAGGGAUAAGGUUAGCAUUUAAUCAAUUAGCUCAUGAGUUGUGUAGGCUAAUUGUGUUUAAUGUGUAUAGUUUGUUGUUCGUGAUGUUUGCGUUAGAUUCGGUUAAUCUAGUGAAGCGUAACUAUUGUGCUUAGUCGUAUAUCAUAUGAAGUUGUACAACGCCUCGCCGCUAGGUGUUUAAUUCGCUAUCGCGUAGCACUAUUUAGGUUUGUAAUAUUCCUGUCUAUAUGCAUUCAUGUGCAUAAUGUAUUUCAUUCAGGUACAUGAAUUAACCAUGUGAUGCGGAGAACCAGAACUGAGUCGACCACAAGAUAUCGCUACGUGUGAGCUUCUCCACAAGAUGGUGCUGAUGAACGGAAGUGAAGGUGAACAGAUGAAACAAGUAUCAGAACAAAAGCUGAUUGCCAAGUGGACGUCGUCUAGCAAACACUAACGUAGUGUUUAUUCCAGGCAAGCCCCGGUUCAUGCAACCCAUUCCUUGUGUUUUUUAAUAAUUUUCGCACACUUCAAGUCUAGCGAAAUGUGCAUUAGGUUUAUAGGAGUUGCUUGGAAACCCUUUGAUGCAUUGCCUACCUUGAUAUCCAUACCUUUAU
Molecule: long non-coding RNA, 36432 nt
Filed under: Zea mays
Lineage: Eukaryota; Viridiplantae; Streptophyta; Magnoliopsida; Poales; Poaceae
Description: long non-coding RNA (ZMAY_LNC000955)
Source: RNAcentral